GAUGAACGCUGGCGGCGUGCCUAAGACGUGCAAGUCGAGCGGAGUUAUACGCUGGAGAGGCCUUCGGGCUAAUCCUUGUAUAACUUAGCGGCGGACGGGUGAGUAACACGUGGGUAAUCUGCCCUUCACUGCGGGAUAACAGUUGGAAACAGCUGCUAAUACCGCAUAAGCCCCCGGCAUCACAUGGUGCAGAGGGAAAAGAUUUAUCGGUGAAGGAUGAGCCCGCGUUAGAUUAGCUAGUUGGUGGGGUAACGGCCUACCAAGGCGACGAUCUAUAGCCGACCUGAGAGGGUGAUCGGCCACACUGGGACUGAGACACGGCCCAGACUCCUACGGGAGGCAGCAGUCAGGGAUAUUGCACAAUGGACGAAAGUCUGAUGCAGCAACGCCGCGUGAAGGAUGAAGGUUUUCGGAUCGUAAACUUCUAUCGAUGGGGACGAAUAAUGACGGUACCCAAGUAAGAAGCCCCGGCUAACUACGUGCCAGCAGCCGCGGUAAUACGUAGGGGGCAAGCGUUAUCCGGAAUUACUGGGUGUAAAGGGUGAGUAGCCGGUAGGCUAAGUCACAUGUGAAAGCCCGAGGCUCAACCUCGGGACUGCAUGAGAAACUGGUUUACUAGAGUACAGGAGAGGUUAGCGGAAUUCCUUGUGUAGCGGUGAAAUGCGUAGAUAUAAGGAAGAACACCAGUGGCGAAGGCGGCUAACUGGACUGAAACUGACGGUGAGUCACGAAAGCGUGG
RNAcentral lists this ribosomal RNA (739 nucleotides) under uncultured bacterium. RNAcentral describes it as "bacterial SSU rRNA". It matches the Rfam family "Bacterial small subunit ribosomal RNA", at positions 28 to 764 of the family's 1533-position model. The record is from RNAcentral.